AUCGCUUCUCGGCCUUUUGGCUAAGAUCAAGUGUAGUAUCUGUUCUUAUCAGUUUAAUAUAGUAGUAGAUCAAACACACUUUUUUAUUUACCAAAGAAAUAACAAGGUAUAUCACUUCUAUCACUGGGCUCAAAUAACUUCCAAAAAGCUCAUUGAACACCAA
Non-coding RNA from Myotis brandtii (Brandt's bat), 163 nucleotides. NCBI's taxonomy places the organism in Eukaryota, Metazoa, Chordata, Mammalia, Chiroptera, Vespertilionidae. The record is from Rfam.